This 2554-nucleotide long non-coding RNA is filed under the name Moschus moschiferus (Siberian musk deer). Its description in RNAcentral is "lncRNA (ENSMMSG00000021173.1)". The record is from RNAcentral. Lineage: Eukaryota; Metazoa; Chordata; Mammalia; Artiodactyla; Moschidae.
GGAGGGGGCGGGACACUAAAUCACAUGCCCCGCCCUUAUCCCUCAGGCCCCGCCCCUCGGGCGCCGGCCCCGCCUCCAGGUCAUCCCAAGAUGGCGGGUGAAUGGGGUCCAGAUCCUGGGGCGCCCCCCUCCCCUUCAGCCGGAACCACCCCACGAGGCCCGAGGACCCCCCCGCCCGUCCCUGAGCCCACCUGCCGCAGCACCCUCGUAACUCCUUGUGUGUCUCUUGGUUUUCAGAGAUGCCCCUGUACUUUGUGGACUUGCAGGAUGACUUAGACGAUUAUGGGUUUGAGGACUAUGGCUCCAACUGCAGUGGCAUGAGGGUGACAGCCUUCUUGGACAUUCCAGGCCAGGACAACCUGCCUCCCCUCGCUCAUCUGUAAAAGUAUGCUUUUUCAGAAGUCACAUCUUCAACUGAGCCCACGAUGCAGACUGAGCUGAUGGAGCAGAUUCCUCCUCUUGCCAUUUUUCUAUAAGAAAACAGAUCAGAUUUUCCAGUGGUGCUCUCUGAAUACCUCAUGCCAAUCAUGGUGCAGUACCUCGCAGAUCCAGACAAUCAGAUAAUCUGCAAGCUGUCGUCAGUGCUGAGCAAGAGCACAGUUGAACGCCUGCUGUUCCCUCGAUUCUGUGAACUGUGUAGCUACGGGAAGGUCUUUCAAGUUCAGAAGCGUAUUUUAGAAAUGCCGGUAACCAUCAUCUUGGAGUUGUUGGAGAGACUGUCCUGGCUUUGCAGCCCUACCAGAACCAAGAUCUUACAUUUUUUGCUGCUCUAGAACCAAAGUGGGGGAAUGUUACAGACCUCGGCAUGCUGCAAGAACAGAAGUAACCCAUCUGUGAUCACUGCAAGCCGGUCACUUCGAGCUUGGCAUGUGCUGCUUACUGUAACUUGAAGGGGAGCUGAUGGUGUCAUACCUGCCUGGGGAGGAAAAGUUUCUGAGACUUUGAUAUUGUGUCCUUCAGGGACCCCUUUCCCAUCUUCGGUCACAGGGACUGCUCCUGGGACAGGCACUAGUUCCAGGUGGCCUGGCAGGCACUGUGCUUCUGUGUCCCUACAUGCCAGAUGAGAUAAGUCUGUGCAAAGGCUGUAGAACCAGGUGGCUCCCUGAGUGUGGGAGCCUCCGUGACAUCAGACUGUCUGGCAGCAGUUUGUUUUGUCUAUUACUGAUGAUAUUAUUUGACCCCCAGUUACCCCCUCUCCAAAAAUAAAGUACUUUACUAGAAGCUUUUACGUCUUCAAUAGACUUGCGUAUUUGGCUUCCGUCAUGUUUCCCAUAAAAUAUAGUUUAUGGUUUUAUAUUUUAUUUUUAACUGAAAUGUUGUGCAUAUGUAAAUAACUCUUGACGGGAAGAAAAUAUAUUAAUGUAAGAUUAGUCUCCUAUCAGUGAAUAGAACAAAUACAUCAUUUAAAUUUAUGUUCUACUCAGAGUUGCUGUAAAUAGAGCCCCAUUUUUUUUACUUGUGAAAGAUGUGAUAGUUAAAUCUACUAAAGCAUGAUUUAUGGCAAUCUUUCUAAUAUUGUACUUUUGUUAUAAAUUGUACUCAGACCUUUUUCUCAGGCACUCACCCCUCCCCUUCUUGCAGGAACCGUUUCCAUAAAGAGAUAUAUUGGCCUUUGAUAGAGACAUAAAACAGAUUUUCAUUCUUAUAUGGCUAUAUUAUCAUUUGUUUAAGAGAUGGGAGGGAAAUUGAUCACUGAGAUGCAUGGAUUUGAACUUUAUAUCUGAUGCUUAAGAAUCUUAAAAAUAGGAAAGCACAGUUCUGAUCAGUCUAUAUAGUUGGCCAUAAACACCAGUGAUGUAGGGGUUUAAGUUAUGAUACGCUUCAAAUCUAAGUACACAGGACUUAAGAGUUUGUGCUUUUAAAAUCUAGACCAAGAGUAAGAUUCUCUAGAAUUUAAAAUGUUUUUGAUUAAUUAAUAACUCAAGGUUCUAGAAACAUCUGAUUAAAUUUUGCAUGUAUGUAUGCUGAUGUUAUUUUUAUUUUUUCUAUUUUUAUCUUCUCAAAGGCCAACAGGAGGGGAGGAAGGAGCAGCCUGUUUGGGGUCCAAGAGCGGGCUGCAAAGGGCACAUGAGUUAUUUCCAUUCUUCCCUGGGAUCUUUUUCUUAUCUUUCUUUUCUUUUUUUUUUUUUAAAUAAAAUUUCUCGAGCUAAUAUUGAGUUUCCUGGUAUACAGGAUGCUUUCCCCUACCCCAAAUUCCACUGGGCUGACUCUAAAAAGUAAGGAAGGAAUCCAGACCAUGCCAAAGAAAAUAAGGCACAUGUAUGAGAAUUUCAAAUUGUAUUGAUAACCCAGGAGAUAGCAUUUUGGCAACUUCAGGAAAGAGUGACUUAAUACAUUGGAGACUACAUAUUAAGAGAAAAAAAAAAUCAGCCUAUCUUGUAUUCAGUGCUUUUCUAGAGUAAAUAGAUGGAGCUAUUGUUUUGCUUCGGUAACAAGCAAAUUUUAAUUUUUUUAUUGCUUAGAAAUUGAGAUUGUCGUGUUGUUGAAAUCUGUUGAUCCAGCAGCAAUGUAGAAUUAUUCAGCUGGAAUCUUGUAUUCUGUGCAGAGCUUCACG